GCAUGUAGCUCAGUGGUAGAGUGCGUAUUAGGCAUGCACAAGGUCCUGGGUUCAACCUCCAGCAUAAAACA
Molecule: transfer RNA, 71 nt
Filed under: Marmota monax (woodchuck)
Lineage: Eukaryota; Metazoa; Chordata; Mammalia; Rodentia; Sciuridae
Description: tRNA.Ala
Source: RNAcentral